Molecule: ribosomal RNA, 733 nt
Filed under: uncultured bacterium
Lineage: Bacteria
Description: bacterial SSU rRNA
Rfam family: Bacterial small subunit ribosomal RNA
Source: RNAcentral
AACAGGAUUAGAUACCCUGGUAGUCCACGCCGUAAACGUUGGGCGCUAGGUGUGGGGCUCAUUCCACGAGUUCCGUGCCGCAGCAAACGCAUUAAGCGCCCCGCCUGGGGAGUACGGCCGCAAGGCUAAAACUCAAAGGAAUUGACGGGGCCCCGCACAAGCGGCGGAGCAUGCGGAUUAAUUCGAUGCAACGCGAAGAACCUUACCAAGGCUUGACAUGCAGGGUAAUCCGGCAGAGAUGUCGGGUCCGCAAGGGAUCUUGCACAGGUGGUGCAUGGUUGUCGUCAGCUCGUGUCGUGAGAUGUUGGGUUAAGUCCCGCAACGAGCGCAACCCUCGUCCUAUGUUGCCAGCGCGUGAUGGCGGGGACUCAUAGGAGACUGCCGGGGUCAACUCGGAGGAAGGUGGGGAUGACGUCAAAUCAUCAUGCCCCUUAUGUCUUGGGCUUCACGCAUGCUACAAUGGCCAGUACAAAGGGCUGCGAGACCGUGAGGUGGAGCGAAUCCCAAAAAGCCGGUCUCAGUUCGGAUUGAGGUCUGCAACUCGACCUCAUGAAGUCGGAGUCGCUAGUAAUCGCAGAUCAGCAACGCUGCGGUGAAUACGUUCCCGGGCCUUGUACACACCGCCCGUCAAGUCAUGAAAGUCGGUAACACCCGAAGCCGGUGGCCUAACCCUUGUGGAAGGAGCCGUCGAAGGUGGGAUCGGUGAUUAGGACUAAGUCGUAACAAGGUAACC